AGAGUUUGAUCCUGGCUCAGGACGAACGCUGGCGGCGUGGAUUAGGCAUGCAAGUCGAACGCGAAAGCUUCCUUCGGGAAGUGAGUAGAGUGGCGAACGGGAGAGUAACGCGUGGAAAACCUACCAUCGAGUGGGGGAUAACACUUCUAACGGAGUGCUAAUACCGCAUGAAUCGGGAUGUCGCACCUGGGAAAGCGGGCCUCUACUUGUAAGCUCGUGCUCGAUGAUGGUUCCGCGUCCCAUUAGCUUGUUGGUGGGGUAAUGGCCUACCAAGGCAACGAUGGGUAGCCGGCCUGAGAGGGUGUCCGGCCUCACUGGGACUGAGAUACGGCCCAGACUCCUACGGGAGGCAGCAGUCGAGAAGCUUCGGCAAUGGGCGAAAGCCUGACCGAGCGACGCCGCGUGAGCGAUGAAGGCCCUUGUGUCGUAAAGCUCUGUUAGGAGGGAAGAAGACAUUAUACUAAAAGGUAUAAUGGUGACGGUACCUCCAGAGGAAGCCCCGGCUAACUCCGUGCCAGCAGCCGCGGUAAUACGGAGGGGGCAAGCGUUAUUCGGAAUUAUUGGGCGUAAAGAGUUCGUAGGCUGGGAACUAAGUCAGGUGUGAAAUUGCUACGGCUCAACCGAGCAAGGUCACUGAAACUUUAAGACUUGAGUGUGGUAGAGGUCGGCGGAAUUCCAGGUGUAGCGGUGGAAUGCUUAGAUAUCUGGAAGAACACCGGUGGCGAAGGCGGCCAACUGGGCCUGUACUGACGCUGAGGAACGAAAGCCAGGGGAGCAAACGGGAUUAGAUACCCCGGUAGUCCUGGCUGUAAACGAUGGGUACCAGGUGUGAGAGGUAUCGACCCCUUUCGCGCCGCACUUAACGGAUUAAGUACCCCGCCUGGGGAGUACGGCCGCAAGGUUGAAACUCAAAGGAAUUGACGGGGGCCCGCACAAGCGGUGGAGCAUGUGGUUUAAUUCGACGCAACGCGAAGAACCUUACCUGGGCUUGAACUGCUGGGUAAACCUGAUUAAAGUCGUUUUCCCUUCGGGGCAAGUACACAGGUGCUGCAUGGCUGUCGUCAGCUCGUGUCGUGAGAUGUUGGGUUAAGUCCCGCAACGAGCGCAACCCUUGCCCUUAGUUGCCAUCAGGUUAAGCUGGGCACUCUAGGGGGACUGCCGGUGACAAACCGGAGGAAGGUGGGGAUGAUGUCAAGUCCUCAUGGCCCUUACAUCCGGGGCUACACACGUGCUACAAUGGCCGGUACAAAGGGGAGCAAGACCGCGAGGUGGAGCUAAUCCCAAAAAGCCGGUCUCAGUUGGGAUUGCAGUCUGUAACUCGACUGCAUGAACGCGGAAUCGCUAGUAAUCGCGGAUCAGCAUGCCGCGGUGAAUACGUUCCCAGGCCUUGUACACACCGCCCGUCACAUCACGAGAGUUGGGGGUGCCCGAAGUCGUUGUUCUAACCCUUUGGGAGGAACGCGCCGAAGGUAAACCCAACGAUUGGCGCUAAGUCGUAACAAGGUAACC
This 1509-nucleotide ribosomal RNA is filed under the name uncultured prokaryote. Its description in RNAcentral is "partial 16S ribosomal RNA". It matches the Rfam family "Bacterial small subunit ribosomal RNA". The record is from RNAcentral.